GGCGUAAUGUUUUAUAGAGUACAAAGUUUCUUAUUAUUAAAAACCGUUUAUAAUUUUUAAAAUCAUAUUCUAACUUAUAAUCUAUUUUAAAAAGAAAUGUCUCAUUGUUUAUUUGCUCGGGAUAAAAAUUACAAUUAUAAGGUGUUUUUAUUGCCAGAUUUUGUUGCUGAAUAAAAUGGAAGGUAGAAAAGUGAGGAAAACAUAUAAAAGGCAGCGCCAUCACCCGGCACGCUCUCUUUGCUGUUCAGCUGUCAACGAGUCAACAUCUUGGUAACGUAAUUCUGCCGGUUAGGUUUUGCUUAUCUUGUUACGUAAUUGUUCUAGAGGCCUUACAUUCUUAGUCUUCAUUUAAUUUUGGUUUGUUAAAUUUAAUUGUUUUCAAAGUAGAUUCGUUUUUGUGAAGUGUAUUCUUUAAGGUAGUAAUAAAUUUGUUUUUAAAAAUAUAACUUCUG
RNAcentral lists this unclassified non-coding RNA (452 nucleotides) under Melitaea cinxia (Glanville fritillary). RNAcentral describes it as "misc RNA ENSMCXG00005021718.1". The record is from RNAcentral. Lineage: Eukaryota; Metazoa; Arthropoda; Insecta; Lepidoptera; Nymphalidae.